This 996-nucleotide ribosomal RNA is filed under the name Parahaemophilus parainfluenzae. RNAcentral describes it as "Haemophilus parainfluenzae bacterial SSU rRNA". The stretch from base 1 to 776 matches the Rfam family "Bacterial small subunit ribosomal RNA". Lineage: Bacteria; Pseudomonadati; Pseudomonadota; Gammaproteobacteria; Pasteurellales; Pasteurellaceae. The record is from RNAcentral.
AUUGAACGCUGGCGGCAGGCUUAACACAUGCAAGUCGAACGGUAACAUAAAGAAGCUUGCUUCUUUGAUGACGAGUGGCGGACGGGUGAGUAAUGCUUGGGAAUCUAGCUUAUGGAGGGGGAUAACUACGGGAAACUGUAGCUAAUACCGCGUAAUAUCGAAAGAUUAAAGUGUGGGACCUUCGGGCCACAUGCCAUAGGAUGAGCCCAAGUGGGAUUAGGUAGUUGGUGAGGUAAAGGCUCACCAAGCCGACGAUCUCUAGCUGGUCUGAGAGGAUGACCAGCCACACUGGGACUGAGACACGGCCCAGACUCCUACGGGAGGCAGCAGUGGGGAAUAUUGCGCAAUGGGGGCAACCCUGACGCAGCCAUGCCGCGUGAAUGAAGAAGGCCUUCGGGUUGUAAAGUUCUUUCGGUAGCGAGGAAGGCAUUUAGUUUAAUAGACUAGGUGAUUGACGUUAACUACAGAAGAAGCACCGGCUAACUUCGUGCCAGCAGCCGCGGUAAUACGGAGGGGGCGAGCGUUAAUCGGAAUAACUGGGCGUAAAGGGCACGCAGGCGGUGACUUAAGUGAGGUGUGAAAGCCCCGGGCUUUACCCUGGGAAAUUGCAUUUCAUACUGGGUCGCUCGAUACUUUAUGUAGGGGUAGAAUUGCACUGUGGAUCGGUGAAAUGCGUAAUAUGUGGAGGGAUGCCGAAUGACUGAUGUGGCCCUUGUGAAUGUGCUGACCUGUGUGUGUCGAGUGUGUGGGAGUGAUGUGCGUUGAAUACAUUGUAUUGUAUGGUGAAUUUUGCUUGUGGUGUCACUUGUGAGUGCGGCCGCGUGUGGGGGGUGUGUGUGUGUGUGCUCGUGUGCUAUGUUAGGUUGUUUAUUAAAAACCCCUGCACUCUCGAAGCUAUUUUUAGAGCGUGUGUGUCGUGUGAUUGUGUGUGUGUUGGUGUGAUGUGUAUGUUUGUGUGUGUGUGUGUGCUGGUGGUGUUGGUGGUGUUGUGUGUGU